GGUGGUGGAUAUAUCAGGGCCAGCGGGGAGGUGGGUGCAGAUGCUGCGGGGCUGAAGGAGGCUGAGGCCAGCAGCACCCCCCUCGUGGCACAGCAUCCAGGAAGCAUGAGAGGCCUCCAUCUGGUCCUGCUGGCGGUCCUGCUGUGCUCGGACCACGUCCUGAGCCUACAGUGCUACUUCUGUCCUGGGGUCCAGACGAUCACGCAGUGCGAUGCCGUGACCUGUAAAGAGGGACUGA
Phyllostomus discolor (pale spear-nosed bat) is the source of this 238-nucleotide long non-coding RNA. RefSeq lists it as uncharacterized. NCBI's taxonomy places the organism in Eukaryota, Metazoa, Chordata, Mammalia, Chiroptera, Phyllostomidae. The record is from RefSeq and is a predicted model, not a curated record. The transcript is spliced from 3 exons.